RNAcentral lists this long non-coding RNA (328 nucleotides) under Macaca mulatta (Rhesus monkey). RNAcentral's name for it is "lncRNA (ENSMMUG00000052978.1)". The record is from RNAcentral. Lineage: Eukaryota; Metazoa; Chordata; Mammalia; Primates; Cercopithecidae.
AUGCAUUGGCACCAUCAGUAUCAACGUCCAGAAUGUCAAUGAUGAGAGUCCUGUUCUUGCAUCUGUACCAGAUGCACCUAUAAAUAUUUAUGAAAAUCUCUCUGUUGGAACAAAGCUGGUCACAUUGACAGCGACUGAUCGAGACAUAGGGGACUCAGUACAUUAUGAGCUUAUAGGGACACAAAAAGAAUUUUCUAUAAAUGAAGAAUUGAAUGUCCUGAAAAUAUCCCAGUUGAAACUCUUUUAGUCUCUCUAACUUGUACAGAUAAGGAUGGAAGUGCUCCCAAUAACAAUAUAACAUAUCAUUUGAUUAUGGAUGCCUUUUCAA